AGUGAGAAUGCCGGAAUGAGUAGCGAGAAUUAUGUGAGAAUCAUAAUGGCCGAAAGACUAAGGUUUUAGAAGGAAGGUUCGUCCGCUUCUAGUCAGCCGGGAGCUAAGGCGAGGCCGAAAGGCGUAGUCGAUGCACAUACGGUGGAGAUUCCGUAGCCGCCAUUAAUUUAAACAGAGGGACACUUUCAAGGGGCAUGACCCGGGCGUUGGUAGACCCGGGCGUAAGGGACCGAAAAUUAGUAGGGAAGCAUGCUUUAAGGAAGGCGAGAAAAGCUCUGUGUAUAGAAGAUGGCGCCCGUACCGCAAACCGACACAGGUAGUCAGGAAGAGAAUUCUAAGGCCAACGGGAGAAGGGUAGUUAAGGAACUCGGCAAAUUGACCCCGUAACUUCGGAAUAAGGGGUGCUCACGAGAGUGAGCCGCAGUGAAUAGGUCCAGGCGACUGUUUAUCAAAAACACAGCUCUCUGCUAAAUCGAAAGAUGACGUAUAGGGGGUGACACCUGCCCGGUGCUGGAAGGUUAAGAGGAAGGGUGCAAGCUCUGAAUUGAAGCCCCAGUAAACGGCGGCCGUAACUAUAACGGUCCUAAGGUAGCGAAAUUCCUUGUCGGGUAAGUUCCGACCCGCACGAAUGGUGUAACGAUCUGGACACUGUCUCAACUACCCACCCGGCGAAAUUGUAGUACCGGUGAAGAUGCCGGUUACCCGCGGCAAGACGGAAAGACCCCAUGGAGCUUUACUGUAACUUGAUAUUGGGUUUCGGUAUUUUAUGUACAGGAUAGGUGGGAGACUAUGAAACUAAGGCGCCAGCCUUAGCGGAGUCGCCCUUGGGAUACCACUCUUAAAGUACUGAAAUUCUAACCUGCGGCCGUGAAUCCGGUCGGGGGACAUUGUCAGGCGGGCAGUUUGACUGGGGCGGUCGCCUCCAAAAGAGUAACGGAGGCGCUCAAAGGUUCGCUCAGCAUGGUCGGAAACCAUGCCUUAGAGUGUAAACGCAAAAGCGAGCCUAACUGCGAGGCUGACGGGCCGAGCAGUAACGAAAGUUGGAGUUAGUGAUCCGGCGGUAUGUGAAUGGAAAUGCCGUCGCUCAACGGAUAAAAGCUACCCUGGGGAUAACAGGCUGAUCUCCCCCAAGAGUCCACAUCGACGGGGAGGUU
Molecule: ribosomal RNA, 1154 nt
Filed under: human gut metagenome
Description: bacterial LSU rRNA
Rfam family: Bacterial large subunit ribosomal RNA
Source: RNAcentral